Molecule: ribosomal RNA, 119 nt
Filed under: Salmonella enterica subsp. enterica
Lineage: Bacteria; Pseudomonadati; Pseudomonadota; Gammaproteobacteria; Enterobacterales; Enterobacteriaceae
Source: RNAcentral
UCUGGCGGCAGUAGCGCGGUGGUCCCACCCGACCCCAUGCCGAACUCAGAAGUGAAACGCCGUAGCGCCGAUGGUAGUGUGGGGUCUCCCCAUGCGAGUAGAGUAGGGAACUGCCAAGA